GACGAACGCUGGCGGCGUGCUUAACACAUGCAAGUCGAACGGAAAGGCCCUGCUUUUGUGGCGGGCUCGAGUGGCGAACGGGUGAGUAACACGCGAGUACCCUGCCCUUGCCUAUCGGAUAACUUCAGGAAACUGAGGCUAAUACCUGCUAGGAGAUCCUGCUGCGUGGUGUGGGUUGGAAAGUUUCGGCGGUUGGGGAUGGACUCGCGGCUUAUCAGCUUGUUGGUGGGGUAGUGGCUUACCAAGGCUUUGACGGGUAGCCGGCCUGAGAGGGUGACCGGCCAAAGUGCGACUGAGAUACGGGCCAGAGUAGUACGGGAGGCAGCAGUGGGGAAUAUAGUAUGAUGGGGCGAAGCCUGAUGCAGCAACGACGUGUGCGGGAUGACGGACUUCUGGUUGUGAACAGCUUUCGCCUGUGAUCAAGCGUGAGUGACGGUAAUGGAUAAAGAAGCACCGGCUAACUACGUG
This 468-nucleotide ribosomal RNA is filed under the name uncultured bacterium. RNAcentral's name for it is "partial 16S ribosomal RNA". It matches the Rfam family "Bacterial small subunit ribosomal RNA", at positions 28 to 507 of the family's 1533-position model. The record is from RNAcentral.